AAAAAAGUUUGUUCAUUUGUUAUAUAAUGUAUAUUACACAAUAUACAUCAGGUAGAGUUAUACAUAUAUAACUGGAACUAUUCCGAGUAUUACGAAGAUAAUAAUUUUACUCAAUGGUUACUCGAAGAAAAUACGAUCUGAAUAUCAGGAAAGGCAUGGUUUAGAAACACGUGAUAAUUUAAUGUGAUUUCUUCAUAAGAGAAUGCACAGAAAAUAUCUGAUGUUUAAAAUGUUUAGAGAUUAUCAUUUGCAAUUUUUUUCUAAUAUUGUACCAAAUAAAUAGCUAUUUUCAAUACUCCUCUAAUUGGCCAGGUUAAAGGAGUAGAUAGAUGUAGCACCACUCCUGUUGAAUUGGAGUUAAUGGUGUCAUGCCACGGGAAGUACAAUUAUAGCACGAGACUUGUGGCGAUUGGAGCAUCCUUCGAUUAAACACGGACCUAUCGUUAGGGGCAACAUGUCCAUACACAAUGACCUUCGUCGUAAUGAUACAGCAUUGCAGCUACUCAUUCUUUGAUGAGAAACUUCUUUUUAAACACCGAAAAUUAACGUGAAACUUUGAAACAAACGCCUCGAUCGCGUGCACUAUGAUGUAAUAUUAAAUUUGGAUUCCUUUCAUAUCCAUCAAUUUAAUUGCUCCUCAACUUCUAUCGCUUGGCUGUAACAUCGUAGUUCUUGCCAUUUUAUACAUGCGAUACGUACGUACGUAUAUGUACAUAUUCGUGCAACGAAUCAUAAAUUGUUCCUCCGUGUUUACUUCGAUCAAACAACUUUCAUGUAACAAUACAUCGAACACAUCCUUUUUUAACGAAUUCAUCCUAGUCUUCUUGUCAAAAGAAGUAAACACUUUCUGUAAAAAAAAAGGAAAA
Frieseomelitta varia is the source of this 866-nucleotide long non-coding RNA. RefSeq lists it as uncharacterized. The record is from RefSeq and is a predicted model, not a curated record. The transcript is spliced from 3 exons. NCBI's taxonomy places the organism in Eukaryota, Metazoa, Arthropoda, Insecta, Hymenoptera, Apidae.